This 788-nucleotide long non-coding RNA is filed under the name Ricinus communis (castor bean). RNAcentral describes it as "long non-coding RNA (RCOM_LNC000881)". The record is from RNAcentral. Lineage: Eukaryota; Viridiplantae; Streptophyta; Magnoliopsida; Malpighiales; Euphorbiaceae.
AUCCUCCCUCAUGAAAUGUGGAACUAGAUAUUUCACAAUUAAGGGGAAAGAAAAGGGGACAAACACAUGCUAGCAUUCUGUAAACGGUUCUCGUUUUUGCUUGUUGGCCUUGGUGUUCUACAAACUCAUCCAUCUAUGCUUCCUGAGACUUGCAAAGUAUUUGUAGAUGCUUUCUUUUGUCCCAAACUCUGGCAAAAGGUGACUAUUUGGAGGGGUUGCAUUUUCCUGAAUGAAUUUGGUUAGUAAAUUGGUGCAAAAGCUGUUCCAGUUCUUAGAGAUAUAGAGUCGGUGGAAAUAUGGCAGAAGGCGUUCGGCUGGAACAGUUUCUUAGUCUUUCAAAUUGUCAAAUCAUGUCUGCUUGUGCAGAAGUGGUCCACCUGCUUCAAAGUACCACAAUAGAUACUUCUUUAUCUAGUGUGCCCGUAAUUGACAUAUAUAUAUAAAAGAAUUAGAUUGGAAUUGUUUUGAGGGCGUGUAUUGAUCUGAUAGUUGCCCCAGUGUGAUUUGCUUGUAUAAUCUUAGUUAAUUCAUUUCCUCAAACAAAACUUUAGUUAAUUCAUAAUAUAUAUAUAUAUAGUUUACUGCUGCAAAAUUCGAUCCAGUAAACAAAUUUUCCCGAUCAUAACAACAGUCGGGAACUUUAUUGUUAGUUAAUUGGCCACCGAUUAUAUACUCUGUCGAAAAUUUACAGCAGCUCGUUCAUUGCUAAAGGAUUAUAUCAGUAAUGUGUUAGGAGUUGUAUAAAAGAUUUAACUUAGACUAUUAUAUCACUAAUGUAUAAAAGUAGA